This 468-nucleotide ribosomal RNA is filed under the name uncultured bacterium. RNAcentral's name for it is "partial 16S ribosomal RNA". It matches the Rfam family "Bacterial small subunit ribosomal RNA", at positions 27 to 507 of the family's 1533-position model. The record is from RNAcentral.
GGACGAACGCUGGCGGCGUGCUUAACACAUGCAAGUCGAACGGAAAGGCCCUGCUUUUGUGGGGUGCUCGAGUGGCGAACGGGUGAGUAACACGUGAGUAACCUGCCCUUGACUUUGGGAUAACUUCGGAAACUGGGGCUAAUACCGGAUAGGAGCUCCUGCUGCAUGGUGGGGGUUGGAAAGUUUCGGCGGUUGGGGAUGGACUCGCGGCUUAUCAGCUUGUUGGUGGGGUAGUGGCUUACCAAGGCUUUGACGGGUAGCCGGCCUGAGAGGGUGACCGGCCACAUUGGGACUGAGAUACGGCCCAGACUCCUACGGGAGGCAGCAGUGGGGAAUAUUGCACAAUGGGCGGAAGCCUGAUGCAGCAACGCCGCGUGCGGGAUGACGGCCUUCGGGUUGUAAACCGCUUUCGCCUGUGACGAAGCGUGAGUGACGGUAAUGGGUAAAGAAGCACCGGCUAACUACGUG